UCGGACUUUUGAAUGAGAAGGAGCAGAUAUCACUCCCCCAGAAAGUUGAGACCUGUGUGUGUUUCAUGUUUCCAACACAGGAGCACCAACACUUUGGAGGAAAUAGAACAUGAGGUUCCUACCUGAGGUCAAAGAGGAGAAAAGGAUGGAGGUGCGCCUCGAAAGGGAAGAAAAAAGAACACCCCCCCCCUGACGUUUUCGCCUGGUCUGGAGAUGCUUUGAGGCUGCCGGUCGCUCUCAGCAGCACUCACGAGGAGAGGCGGCCAAUUAAGAAUCAGGAGAGGGGGGAUGCUCGCCGGCUGAUUGGCUCAGGCUGCCAUCCGAACAUCCUGGGAGCGGAGACACCCACCCUGCCUUCCAUGCACACACAUUUGUGCAACUUGAUGUGGAAUGUAGAGCAGGCGUGACAGCAGGGAGGACUUGGCUGCAAACAGGAACACGGAGAGGGAGAUGCAUUUAAAACUAAUGGAGGCCAUCAAAUGUUAACACACUUUUAUGCAUGAGGGAACAUAUGGAUGGAGGCCAACAUUAAAGGAGGGGGUCCAAUUCAAUGUAAAUCACAUGCACAUAAAGAAUGUGACAUACCUGCCUGGACAUGAUCAAACAGCUAUAGACUUUUUUUAUUUAGCUUUCCUCAUUGAUGAACACUUUAAAGCAGGGGUCCCCAAACUACGGCCCGCGGGCCAGAUACGGCCCGCCAGCGUCCAAAAUCCGGCCCGCGGGUAGUACCAAGUAAAAAAAAAAUUAUUUUAUUUUAUUUUUAUUUUUUUUUAAAUCUGUUUUUUUUCACCCAUUCAUCAAUCCAUUUUCCACCACUUGUUACUGAGUCUCCUAGGCAGAUACGGCACACCAGCGUCCAAAAUCCGCCCCGCGGGUAGUACCAAGUAAAAAAAUAUAUAUAUAUAUAUAUAUAUUUUUUUUAAAUCUGUUCUUUUUCACCCAUCCAUCAAUCCAUUUUCCACCUCUUGUUACUGAGUCCCCUAGGCAGAUACGGCACACCAGCGUCCAAAAUCCGCCCCGCGGGUAGUACCAAGUAAAAAAAAAAUUUUAAAAAAUUAAUUUUUUUUAAAAAUCUGUUCUUUUUCACCCAUUCAUCAAUCCAUUUUCCACCGCUUGUUACUGAGUCUCCUAGGCAGAAACAGCACACCAGCGUCCAAAAUCCGGCCC
Molecule: long non-coding RNA, 1167 nt
Organism: Entelurus aequoreus (snake pipefish)
Lineage: Eukaryota; Metazoa; Chordata; Actinopteri; Syngnathiformes; Syngnathidae
Exons: 4
Source: RefSeq, a predicted model, not a curated record